This 253-nucleotide ribosomal RNA is filed under the name uncultured bacterium. RNAcentral's name for it is "partial 16S ribosomal RNA". It matches the Rfam family "Bacterial small subunit ribosomal RNA", at positions 524 to 776 of the family's 1533-position model. The record is from RNAcentral.
GACGGAGGGUGCAAGCGUUGUUCGGAAUUACUGGGCGUAAAGGGCGCGUAGGCGGUCUGUUAAGUUCGGUGUGAAAGCCCUCGGCUUACCCGGGGAACUGCGCCGGAAACCGACAGACUCGAGUACCGGAGAGGAGGGUGGAAUUCCUGGUGUAGCGGUGAAAUGCGUAGAUAUCAGGAGGAACACCAGUGGCGAAGGCGGCACUCUGGGCCGGUACUGACGCUGAGGAGCGAAAGCGUGGGGAGCGAACAGG